UCACCGGCGGACGGGUGCGUAACACGUGGGAAUGUACCUAGUGGUUCGGAACAACUCAGGGAAACUUGUGCUAAUACCGGAUAAGCCCUUACGGGGAAAGUUUUAAUGCCAAAAGAUGAGCCCGCACUUGAUUAGCUAGUUGGUAAGGUAAUGGCUUACCAAGGCAACGAUCAAUAGCUGUUCUUAGAGGAAGACCAGCCACAUUGGGACUGAGACACGGCCCAAACUCC
RNAcentral lists this ribosomal RNA (230 nucleotides) under uncultured bacterium. RNAcentral describes it as "partial 16S ribosomal RNA". It matches the Rfam family "Bacterial small subunit ribosomal RNA", at positions 92 to 339 of the family's 1533-position model. The record is from RNAcentral.